AGUAACGGCGAGUGAAGCGGCAACAGCUCAAAUUUGAAAUCUGGCCUUUGGUCCGAGUUGUAAUUUGCAGAGGAUGCUUCGGGCGCGGUGCCUUCCAAGUCCCCUGGAACGGGGCGCCGGAGAGGGUGAGAGCCCCGUACGGUUGGCGGCCAAGCCUGUAUGAAGCUCCUUCGACGAGUCGAGUUGUUUGGGA
RNAcentral lists this ribosomal RNA (193 nucleotides) under Chaetosphaeria vermicularioides. RNAcentral's name for it is "partial large subunit ribosomal RNA". It matches the Rfam family "Eukaryotic large subunit ribosomal RNA", at positions 82 to 279 of the family's 3401-position model. Lineage: Eukaryota; Fungi; Ascomycota; Sordariomycetes; Chaetosphaeriales; Chaetosphaeriaceae. The record is from RNAcentral.